Paramuricea clavata is the source of this 300-nucleotide non-coding RNA. The record is from the annotation of a GenBank genome assembly. Lineage: Eukaryota; Metazoa; Cnidaria; Anthozoa; Malacalcyonacea; Plexauridae.
UUUGUCUGAUAGCAGGAAGCCUAUAUCGCUACUGUCUAUAUUGAGCAGCUGUUCUAGGUUAUAAUCUUCCCAUGUUUCAUUGUUUUUGUCUAACGUACGCGUUUUUGUGAAGAUAAAUAUAUAUACAUAAGCAGUAUUUUUGGGUAUCUUUUUUCUUGAAACAAUAUAGAGUGCAUGGCAUUGAGGGGGAAAUUUAGUCCAGAAAGGGACAUUUAAUUUGGAAUCUUGAUAAUGGGGCCCAAAUUAAUGACUGUGCAAAACCAAGAAACGUUUUUCCCAUCAUUUUGGCUUCCAUUCUAG